AUAAUAGUAGUAUAAAUAGUAUUUUUGUUUUCCAAACAAACAGUUCUUGUGAGAUUAUUAUA
RNAcentral lists this transfer RNA (62 nucleotides) under Dosinia altior. Its description in RNAcentral is "tRNA-Gly". Lineage: Eukaryota; Metazoa; Mollusca; Bivalvia; Venerida; Veneridae. The record is from RNAcentral.